RNAcentral lists this ribosomal RNA (1794 nucleotides) under human gut metagenome. Its description in RNAcentral is "bacterial LSU rRNA". It matches the Rfam family "Bacterial large subunit ribosomal RNA", at positions 630 to 2438 of the family's 2925-position model. The record is from RNAcentral.
GCGACAGACUGCGAGGUUAAGGAGGAAAGACCGGAGCCGAAGCGAAAGCGAGUCUUAAGAGGGCGAAAGUAGGAUGUUGCAGACCCGAAACCGGGUGAUCUAGCCAUGAGCAGGUUGAAGUUGAGGUGAAACUCAAUGGAGGACCGAACCGACUACCGUUGAAAAGUUAGCGGAUGACUUGUGGCUAGGGGAGAAAUUCCAAUCGAACCCGGAGAUAGCUGGUUCUCCCCGAAAUAGCUUUAGGGCUAGCGUCGGAAAGAACCUUAGUGAAGGUAGAGCACUGAAUGUGUGAUGGCCCCAUCCCGGGGUACUGAAUACAAUCAAACUGCGAAUGUCAUUAAGGAUGUCCGGCAGUCAGACUGUGAGUGAUAAGGUCCAUGGUCAAGAGGGAAACAGCCCAGACCGCCAGUUAAGGUCCCAAAAUACAGGCUAAGUGGAAAAGGAUGUGGGGAUGCCCAGACAACUAGGAGGUUGGCUCAGAAGCAGCCAUCCUUUAAAGAGUGCGUAACAGCUCACUAGUCGAGUGACCCUGCGCCGAAAAUGUACCGGGGCUAAGCCUGAUACCGAAACUGCGGAUUGUAGGAAACUAUAGUGGUAGGGGAGCGUUGUAUACGAGCAGAAGCCGUACCGUGAGGAGCGGUGGAUUGUAUAGAAGUGAGAAUGCCGGUGUGAGUAGCGAGAUGUAGGUGAGAAUCCUACACACCGAAAGCCCAAGGAUUCCAGGGGAAGGUUCGUCCGCCCUGGGUAAGUCGGGACCUAACGCGAGGCCGAAAGGCGUAGUGGAUGGAAAGCAGGCGAAAGAUUCCUGCACCCGUAUAUGGAGCGAAGGAGUGACGGAGACGGAUAGUGUGACCCUCUUAAUGGAUUGAGGGCGAAGCGAAGCGGCUGGUUACCAGGCAAAUCCGGUAACCAAAAGGCUAGAGCGUGACAGGUAAGCGAAAUCUUAGGAAAGUAGCGAAGCACAUGAUGACGGCUUCCAGGAAAAGCUUCUGGCAAUGCAUAUGCGGCCCGUACCAAAACCGACACAGGUGGGCAGGGAGAGAAUCCCGAGGUGAGCGAGAGAACUGUUGCCAAGGAACUCGGCAAAAUGACUCCGUAAGUUAGCGAGAAGGAGUGCUUAAGCAAUUAAGCCGCAGUGAAGAGGCCCAAGCGACUGUUUAACUAAAACACAGCUCUCUGCGAAGUCGCAAGACGAAGUAUAGGGGGUGACACCUGCCCGGUGCUGGAAGGUUAAGAGGAUCUGUUAAGAGCGAUCUGAAGCAGUGAUCCGAAGCCCCAGUGAACGGCGGCCGUAACUAUAACGGUCCUAAGGUAGCGAAAUUCCUUGUCAGGUAAGUUCUGACCCGCACGAAAGGUGUAACGAUUUGGGCGCUGUCUCGGCAGCAGACUCGGUGAAAUCUUAGUACCUGUGAAAAUGCAGGUUACCCGCAACUAGACGGAAAGACCCCAUGGAGCUUUACUGCAGCCUGAUAUUGAAUUCUGGUCAUACAUGUACAGGAUAGGUGGGAGACAAAGAGACGUGCACGCCAGUGUACGAGGAGUCGACGUUGGGAUACCACUCUUGUGUGACCGGGGUUCUAACCUGGUAUCGAGAACAGGUACGGGGAGAGUGUCAGGUGGGCAGUUUGACUGGGGCGGUCGCCUCCCAAAGAGUAACGGAGGCGCCCAAAGGUACGCUCAGAUUGGAUGGAAACCAAUCGUCGAGUGCAAUUGCAGAAGCGUGCUUGACUGUGAGACAGACAAGUCGAACAGGGACGAAAGUCGGGAAUAGUGAUCCGGCGGUGCCGAAUGGAA